UACGGGGGGGGCAAGCGUUGUUCGGAAUUACUGGGCGUAAAGGGUUUGUAGGUGGCUUGCUAAGUCGGACGUGAAAUCCCUCAGCUUAACUGGGGAACUGCGUCUGAGACUGGCAAGCUUGAGUGCAGGAGAGGAAAGCGGAAUUCCAGGUGUAGCGGUGAAAUGCGUAGAUAUCUGGAGGAACACCGGUGGCGAAGGCGGCGUUCUGGACUGUAACUGACACUGAGGAACGAAAGCCAGGGGAGCAAACGGG
This 253-nucleotide ribosomal RNA is filed under the name uncultured bacterium. RNAcentral describes it as "partial 16S ribosomal RNA". It matches the Rfam family "Bacterial small subunit ribosomal RNA", at positions 524 to 776 of the family's 1533-position model. The record is from RNAcentral.